UGGUAUGUAGCUCAGUGGCAAAGCGCUUGCCUAGCAAGUGCGACGUCCUGGGUUCCAUUCCCAGUACCAA
Molecule: transfer RNA, 70 nt
Filed under: Dipodomys ordii (Ord's kangaroo rat)
Lineage: Eukaryota; Metazoa; Chordata; Mammalia; Rodentia; Heteromyidae
Rfam family: tRNA
About the family: Transfer RNA (tRNA) molecules are approximately 80 nucleotides in length. Their secondary structure includes four short double-helical elements and three loops (D, anti-codon, and T loops). Further hydrogen bonds mediate the characteristic L-shaped molecular structure. tRNAs have two regions of fundamental functional importance: the anti-codon, which is responsible for specific mRNA codon recognition, and the 3' end, to which the tRNAs corresponding amino acid is attached (by aminoacyl-tRNA synthetases). tRNAs cope with the degeneracy of the genetic code in two manners: having more than one tRNA (with a specific anti-codon) for a particular amino acid; and 'wobble' base-pairing, i.e. permitting non-standard base-pairing at the 3rd anti-codon position.
Source: Rfam by way of RNAcentral